UAGCUAGUUGGUGAGGUAACGGCUUACCAAGGCGACGAUCUGUAGCGGGUCUGAGAGGAUGAUCCGCCACACUGGAACUGAGACACAGUCCAGACUCCUACGGGAGGCAGCAGUGGGGAAUUUUGGACAAUGGGGGCAACCCUGAUCCAGCCAUGCCGCGUGAGUGAAGAAGGCCUUCGGGUUGUAAAGCUCUUUCGGCCGGGAAGAAAUCGCAUGGGCCAAUACCCUGUGUGGAUGACGGUACCGGAAUAAGAAGCACCGGCUAACUACGUGCCAGCAGCCGCGGUAAUACGUAGGGUGCGAGCGUUAAUCGGAAUUACUGGGCGUAAAGCGUGCGCAGGCGGUUUUGUAAGACAGGCGUGAAAUCCCCGGGCUCAACCUGGGAACUGCGUUUGUGACUGCAAGGCUAGAGUACGGCAGAGGGGGGUGGAAUUCCACGUGUAGCAGUGAAAUGCGUAGAGAUGUGGAGGAACACCAAUGGCGAAGGCAGCCCCCUGGGUCGAUACUGACGCUCAUGCACGAAAGCGUGGGUAGCAAACAGGAUUAGAUACCCUGGUAGUCCACGCCCUAAACUAUGUCAACUAGGUGUUGGGUGGGUAAAACCAUUUAGUACCGUAGCUAACGCGUGAAGUUGACCGCCUGGGGAGUACGGCCGCAAGGUUAAAACUCAAAGGAAUUGACGGGGACCCGCACAAGCGGUGGGUGAUGUGGAUUAAUUCGAUGCAGCGCGAAAAACCUUACCUACCCUUGACAUGCCAGGAACUCGCCAGAGAUGGCUUGGUGCCCGAAAGGGAGCCUGAACACAGGUGCUGCAUGGCUGUCGUCAGCUCGUGUCGUGAGAUGUUGGGUUAAGUCCCGCAACGAGCGCAACCCUUGUCGUUAAUUGCCAUCAUUUAGUUGGGCACUUUAGCGAGACUGCCGGUGACAAACCGGAGGAAGGUGGGGAUGACGUCAAGUCCUCAUGGCCCUUAUGGGUAGGGCUUCACACGUCAUACAAUGGUCGGUACAGAGGGUCGCCAAGCCGCGAGGUGGAGCCAAUCCCAGAAAGCCGAUCGUAGUCCGGAUUGCAGGCUGCAACUCGCCUGCAUGAAGUCGGAAUCGCUAGUAAUCGUGGAUCAGCAUGUCACGGUGAAUACGUUCCCGGGUCUUGUACACACCGCCCGUCACACCAUGGGAGCGGGUUCCGCCAGAAGUAGGUAGCCUAACCGCAAGGAGGGCGCUUACCACGGCGGGGUUCGUGACUGGGGUGAAGUCGAAACAAGGUAGCCCUAGGGGAACCUGCGGCUG
Molecule: ribosomal RNA, 1287 nt
Filed under: metagenome
Description: bacterial SSU rRNA
Rfam family: Bacterial small subunit ribosomal RNA
Source: RNAcentral